Molecule: ribosomal RNA, 207 nt
Filed under: uncultured bacterium
Lineage: Bacteria
Description: partial 16S ribosomal RNA
Rfam family: Bacterial small subunit ribosomal RNA
Source: RNAcentral
UCCGCAGGCGGCCAGAUAAGUGUAGGGUGAAAUCUCCUGGCUUAACCGGGAAACUGCCUUUCAAACUAUCUGGCUAGAGGUUGGAAGAGGAGAGCGGAACUGCCAGUGUAAGGGUGAAAUCUGUGGAUAUUGGCAGGAACGCCUGUGGUGAAGACGGCUCUCUGGUCCAAUCCUGACGCUCAGGGACGAAAGCUAGGGAAGCAAACA